Molecule: ribosomal RNA, 253 nt
Filed under: uncultured bacterium
Lineage: Bacteria
Description: partial 16S ribosomal RNA
Rfam family: Bacterial small subunit ribosomal RNA
Source: RNAcentral
UACAAGUGGUGCUAGCGUUAUUCGGAUUUAUUGGGCGUAAAGGGUACGUAGACGGCGUGUUAAGUUAGUUGUUAAAUCUCUCGACCUAACCGAGAUCAAGCAAUUAAUACUGGCAUGCUAGAGGGUGGAAGAGAGAAGUGGAAUUCUCGGAGUAGCGGUAAAAUGCGUAGAUAUCGAGAGGAACACCGAUGGCGAAGGCAGCUUCUUGGUCCAUCCCUGACGUUGAGGUACGAAAGCGUGGGUAGCAAACAGG